GAAGUCGGCGGGUCGUCCAUGUCGUCCGCCGCGCGGACGCAGAAGGUGGCCGACCUCAGCCUCAGCUUCCCUGAGGAGAUGCCCGUCGUCGUCCUCUCCUCCAUGGGCAAUACCACCAACAACCUCCUCCUGGUACUACUGCUCUACCAUUUCCCGCUCCAGCGACAAUUCGGUAGCUUCUUUCCGUGCUGA
RNAcentral lists this ribosomal RNA (192 nucleotides) under Triticum aestivum (bread wheat). RNAcentral describes it as "partial small subunit ribosomal RNA". The record is from RNAcentral. Lineage: Eukaryota; Viridiplantae; Streptophyta; Magnoliopsida; Poales; Poaceae.